UUUACCAUGAGCUAGGGUUGGCCACAUCACAGGAUAAGAGUUUCCAAUUAGAGUGGAAAAAGUAUGAGACUUCACAUUAGAGAUUGAGGAUUCGAAUGGACACAAAAUAUCUGCCAAAACAUGAAUCAAGAAAACUAAACUGAUUCAACAACACUUGUCUGUAGCGUGAGCUAGGGUUGGCCACAUAAAAGGCUAGGAGUGUCCAAUUUGAUUGGAAAAAGUAUGAGAGUUCACAUUAGAGAUUGAGGAUUCGAAUGGACACAAAAGAUCUGCCAAAACAUGAGUCAAAAAAAUUGAACUGAUUCAACCAUACCUGUCUGUACCGUGAGCUAGGGUUGGACACAUCAAAGGCUAGGAGUGUCCAAUUUGAGUGGAAAAAGUAUGACACUUUAGAGAUUGAGGAUUCGAAUGGACACAAAAUAUCUGCCAAAACAUGAAUAAAGAAAACUAAACUGAUUCAACAACACUUGUCUGUACCGUGAGCUUGGGUUGGCCACAUACAAGGCUAGGAGUGUCCAAUUUGAUUGGAAAAAAUAUGAGAGUUCACACUAGAGAUUGAGGAUUCGAAUGGACACAAAAUAUCUGCCAAAACAUGAAUCAAGAAAACUAAACUGAUUCAACAACACUUGUCUGUACCGUGAGCUAGGGUUGGCCACACAAAAGGCUAGGAGUGUCCAAUUUGAUUGGAAAAAGUAUGAGAGUUCACAUUAGAGAUUGAGGAUUCGAAUGGACACAAAA
RNAcentral lists this long non-coding RNA (738 nucleotides) under Prunus persica (peach). Its description in RNAcentral is "long non-coding RNA (PPER_LNC008670)". Lineage: Eukaryota; Viridiplantae; Streptophyta; Magnoliopsida; Rosales; Rosaceae. The record is from RNAcentral.